UACGUAGGGUGCAAGCGUUGUCCGGAAUUAUUGGGCGUAAAGAGCUCGUAGGCGGUUUGUCGCGUCUGCUGUGGAAACUCGGGGCUUAACCCCGGGCCUGCAGUGGGUACGGGCAGACUAGAGUGCGGUAGGGGAGACUGGAAUUCCUGGUGUAGCGGUGAAAUGCGCAGAUAUCAGGAGGAACACCAAUUGCGAAGGCAGCACUCUGGGACGUGACUGACGCUGAGACGCGAAAGCGUGGGGAGCAAACAGG
This 253-nucleotide ribosomal RNA is filed under the name uncultured bacterium. Its description in RNAcentral is "partial 16S ribosomal RNA". It matches the Rfam family "Bacterial small subunit ribosomal RNA", at positions 524 to 776 of the family's 1533-position model. The record is from RNAcentral.